UCUGCACAGACCUCUUUUUCCUAUGGACUGCUUUGGCUGCACAGUGUCCUGCAGCACAGUCUCUGAACACAGUGACUCUGAGCAUCCUGACUCCUGUUUCUUUCUUUCUUAGAAAUUGAAAUCAGGCCCUUCUACCAUUGAGUUAUAUCCUCAAUCCUUGUUGUCUUGUUUUUUUCUUUUUUAUAGUUAGAGUCUUGCUUCAUUGCUGAGGUGAUAUUGAACUUGUAAUUCUCUUGCCUCUUCCUCCUGGGUCAGGAUUACAGCUGUGUACCACUGUGGCUGGUACUAUGUUUCUUGUGUUUCCUGCAGGGGAGAAAUCUGUACAGAUUUAGGCAGUAUCUUGUCUUAGGAAAAUGAAAAUAAAACACAACUAGGAGGUAUAACAUUCUCAGAAAUACCAGAAUAUAUGAAAACACGGGGAAAGCAAGCUCAGUUUCUCCCUAUAUACCCUCUGCACACAGAAAGCUUCUGUGAUCCCAAAUAAGUGAGGGUUUUUGCCCUUAUGCCAAGAAUGCAGUUCUUCAGAGGGCACUUGUCAUUUCACCUAAUUCAGACACUGUGUAGAUACAUGGUGGAUCCCACCAGCUGAGGUCUCUGUCCCACAAAAUGGGCCCCUUUUCAGAGGCCUGCAAAAGUAUGGCCCAUGAUUCAGAAUGACUUUCUAUAAAUGGGGCUUCCUUCAUCCCCUCACAUUCAAAAAGUGGUUAGACUGCUUCCUAAAACUGUCAAGGACUUUACUUUCAUUUGCCUUGUGGUAACACCUGUUCAGAAGAGACAGGUGAACACGCACAUGGAAGAGGUGCAUAGGCCAAGGUGUGGGACAAAGGACGUGGAGCUCACAUGACUUUGCGUGGUGCGCCACCCUCCAGGACCCUCCACCCACGCGUUGAUCUGAACACCCUUUCACCCCGUCCUGUUGAGAUUUUAUGGAGGCUCCUUUAUGUAGGCAGGCUUGAUUACAUCCUGGGUGAUGGUGAUCAGUUGGGACUUUAGUCCCUCUCUCUUCCCUGGAGGUGGAUGGCAGGACUGUGUUACAACUGCCUCUCCUGCCUGUGGCUUUGUGGGGAGAAGCCUCGUCGUGAAGCUCUCUAGGGGGCUUUGGCACCUGUCGUGUCACUAGCACACAACUCUUUCUUAGCUCUCCAUGGAUUCCAGGUGAGCUCCACAUCAGCAGACAGACAGAUACCAAAUGUGUGUUUACAGCCUCACAGUGCAGCUCUUCUCACUUGAAUCAGUUGCAUGCUUACACUUCUCCUCCCUUCUCAUUUCUCUUUGUUUACUUCUUUGCAGUAAUGGGGUUGAACCUAGACCCCCUCUGCCAUUACAUCCCUACUCCUAUGUUCUUCAUUCUCAGAGAGGAUCUUGCUAUGUUUCCCAGUCCCACCUCCGAUUUACAAUGUUCCCACCUCAGCCUGGGGAUAGCUGGGAUACAAGCAUGUGCCACCAUGCCUGGGUUCUGUGGUUUACAUUUUGGAUGAAGAUUGUAACUGUCCCCAGUGCCCCAUUGUGAAGCCUGUUUUAAUUUCAGGGUCCACUGACAUUCAGGGAUGUGGCCAUAGAAUUCUCCCAGGAGGAGUGGAAGUGCCUGGUUUCUGCUCAGAGGGCUUUGUACAGGGACGUGAUGCUGGAGACCUACAGGAACCUGGUCUCCCUGGGAAUGUGUCCUUCAGACCCGAGUGUCCUCUCCUGGUUGGAGCAAGGGAGGGAGCCCUGGAGUGUGAAUGGCCCAGAGGAAAUAUCCAGGCCUGCAAAUGAUUGGGCAUUUGUGGAGUGUGUGAAAGCAGAAGAACCGGAAACAAACAUUCCUACAGCUCCGUACAAAUGUAAUGAGCUUGAAAAAUCCUUUAAUCAAGAAUCACACCCUACUAUACAUCAGAAAAUCUGUACUGGAGAGAAACAAUUUACUUGUGAAAUAUGUAGCAAAGUCUUCAAUAAAAAAUCUUAUCUUACAAGUCAUCUUAGAAUUCAUACUGGAGAGAAACCUUACAAGUGUAAUGAGUGUGGGAAGAUGUUCAGUAGAAGUUCACACCUUGGAAAACAUCGGAGAAUCCACACUGG
Molecule: non-coding RNA, 2058 nt
Organism: Ictidomys tridecemlineatus (thirteen-lined ground squirrel)
Lineage: Eukaryota; Metazoa; Chordata; Mammalia; Rodentia; Sciuridae
Source: RefSeq, a predicted model, not a curated record